Molecule: RNA transcript, 989 nt
Organism: Phalaenopsis equestris
Lineage: Eukaryota; Viridiplantae; Streptophyta; Magnoliopsida; Asparagales; Orchidaceae
Exons: 2
Source: RefSeq, a predicted model, not a curated record
CUAAUUUGCCGUAAACCUGAAAGCAAAAAUCGACCAGCACCUGUCAGUCGAUCACAGCUCCAAUCAGCCAUGGCCUCUUUCCUCCACCGAAGUCGAACCACCUCUCACCUUCUCUUCCAAAGCCUAAGAAGCCUUAACCCCGUGGUUCCUCACCUCUAUUCCAAAACCCUCCAUAUACCUACACCGUUAAAACAAACAAGUCCCAUCUCUCCCGUUCCUUUCUUCUCCCCGAGCAUCCCCAAAAACUUGAACCAACGCUUCCUCCAAAAUUAUUCCAUCUCGACCUCCAUCAUUAGAUCUCAAUUACUUCUCCCAAAGCCCCUGAACAUCCCCAAUCUCCAGCAGUUCUCCUCCAACUCUCCGGAAAAACCGCAUCCCGAAGUGCGGCACCAGGAGAUCACCGGCCCGACGGUCGAGCCCGACACUUCCCCACUAGCCAAUGAGACCCGCGAGGUCCUUGAAUCCCUUCGGAGGUCAUUAUACGACCUGAGUUCCGCUCUCGCGGUGCUCGGCGUUGCCCACCUCGGCCUCGGCGCAUGGGUGGCGUACGCCGUGCACCCACCGAACGAGGUCUCUAUCCAGGGCUUUGCUGCCUUUGCCUUCCCCUUCUCACUGGCGUUCCUCUUACGGAGGACUGUUAAGCCUAUUACGUUUUUUCAGAAGAUGGAGCAGCAGGGCCGGCUGCAGAUUCUUACGCUUGCUUUACAGAUUUCGAAGAAUUUACGAGUUCUGUUUGUAAGGAUGCGAGUAAUGUGUUUUUGCUGUGUCAUUGGAGUUUCUGCUGGAUCGGCCGUGACUAUGUUGAUGCGUUGAGGUGGUAAGUGACAGUUCUUCAUUUCUGUUCUUUUCUUACUCUGGAUUUGUUAUUGGCCGGUUAAGAAUCAAUCCUUGAUUGACGAGUUCAUAUCUAUGAUUAAAUAUGUUUAUCCAGGUGAUAAUUUUGAUAAUCUGCACUGUUUAUUUAGUUCCCAUUUAUGAAUUCCAAUCGA